AACGCUAGCUACAGGCUUAACACAUGCAAGUCGAGGGGCAGCAUGAACUUAGCUUGCUAAGUUUGAUGGCGACCGGCGCACGGGUGAGUAACACGUAUCCAACCUGCCGCUUACUCGGGGAUAGCCUUUCGAAAGAAAGAUUAAUACCCGAUGGUAUAAAGAGUUCGCAUGUUCUCUUUAUUAAAGAAUUUCGGUAAGCGAUGGGGAUGCGUUCCAUUAGAUUGUUGGCGGGGUAACGGCCCACCAAGUCUACGAUGGAUAGGGGUUCUGAGAGGAAGGUCCCCCACAUUGGAACUGAGACACGGUCCAAACUCCUACGGGAGGCAGCAGUGAGGAAUAUUGGUCAAUGGACGAGAGUCUGAACCAGCCAAGUAGCGUGAAGGAUGACUGCCCUAUGGGUUGUAAACUUCUUUUAUAAGGGAAUAAAGUGAGGGACGUGUCCCUUUUUGUAUGUACCUUAUGAAUAAGGAUCGGCUAACUCCGUGCCAGCAGCCGCGGUAAUACGGAGGAUCCAAGCGUUAUCCGGAUUUAUUGGGUUUAAAGGGAGCGUAGGUUGACAUAUAAGUCAGCUGUGAAAGUUUACGGCUCAACCGUGAAAUUGCAGUUGAUACUGUAUGUCUUGAGUGUACAAGAGGUGGGCGGAAUUCGUGGUGUAGCGGUGAAAUGCUUAGAUAUCACGAAGAACUCCGAUUG
This 693-nucleotide ribosomal RNA is filed under the name uncultured bacterium. Its description in RNAcentral is "bacterial SSU rRNA". It matches the Rfam family "Bacterial small subunit ribosomal RNA", at positions 32 to 715 of the family's 1533-position model. The record is from RNAcentral.